This 301-nucleotide ribosomal RNA is filed under the name uncultured bacterium. Its description in RNAcentral is "partial 16S ribosomal RNA". It matches the Rfam family "Bacterial small subunit ribosomal RNA", at positions 509 to 807 of the family's 1533-position model. The record is from RNAcentral.
CAGUAGCCGCGGUAAUACGUAGGGUGCAAGCGUUAAUCGGAAUUACUGGGCGUAAAGCGUGCGCAGGCGGUUAUGUAAGACAGUUGUGAAAUCCCCGGGCUCAACCUGGGAACUGCAUCUGUGACUGCAUAGCUAGAGUACGGUAGAGGGGGAUGGAAUUCCGCGUGUAGCAGUGAAAUGCGUAGAUAUGCGGAGGAACACCGAUGGCGAAGGCAAUCCCCUGGACCUGUACUGACGCUCAUGCACGAAAGCGUGGGGAGCAAACAGGAUUAGAUACCCGCGUAGUCCCUGUCUCUUAUAC